Molecule: non-coding RNA, 30 nt
Filed under: Rattus norvegicus (Norway rat)
Lineage: Eukaryota; Metazoa; Chordata; Mammalia; Rodentia; Muridae
Source: RNAcentral
UGACUAGGAUCAGAUUGACACCAACGGCUC